RNAcentral lists this ribosomal RNA (435 nucleotides) under uncultured bacterium. Its description in RNAcentral is "partial 16S ribosomal RNA". It matches the Rfam family "Bacterial small subunit ribosomal RNA", at positions 29 to 507 of the family's 1533-position model. The record is from RNAcentral.
AACGAACGCUGGCGGCAGGCCUAACACAUGCAAGUCGAGCGGACAUCUGCGGAUGUUCGCGGCGGACGGGGGAGUAACGCGUGGGAACGUGCCCUUUGCUUCGGAAUAGCCUCGGGAAACUGGGAGUAAUACCGGAUGUACCCUUUGGGGGAAAGAUUUAUCGGCAAAGGAUCGGCCCGCGGUGGAUUAGGUAGUUGGUGGGGUAAUGGCCUACCAAGCCGACGAUGCAUAGCGGGUUUGAGAGGAUGAGCAGCCACACUGGGACUGAGACACGGCCCAGAAUCCUACGGGAGGCAGCAGUGGGGAAUCUUAGACAAUGGGGGAAACCCUGAUCUAGCCAUGCCGCGUGAGCGAUGAAGGCCUUAGGGUUGUAAAGCUCUUUCACCGGGGAAGAUAAUGACGGUACCCGGAGAAGAAGCCCCGGCUAACUCCGUG